This 513-nucleotide long non-coding RNA is filed under the name Struthio camelus australis. RNAcentral describes it as "lncRNA (ENSSCUG00000004075.1)". The record is from RNAcentral. Lineage: Eukaryota; Metazoa; Chordata; Aves; Struthioniformes; Struthionidae.
ACAUGAGUGAGUUGGAGGGGAGGGAAACGAAUCAUUCCGCAAAGGUUCGUCACUUGUGACAUGAAAGCAGAGGUAUGUUUCUUCCCGUUGUUUUAGGAACGCUUGGUCUCCCCAUGCAACGCCAGCGCUUCUCAAAUGACACAAUCUGAUCGGCUAUUGUUACAGGAAGGAGACGUGAUGGGAAAGAAGAUUCUCUCAUUGGUGCUCAUCUGUACAGUGGCCGGUGCUGCUGGGGAAUGUGUGCUGCCAUUGAGAAUGAGUGACAGCUGUCAUUAGGGCUUUCAGAUGGAGGCUGCAGUCACCUGCUUGCUGAGCAAGAGCAAGGAAACUAAACCACCAGAAGAACCAGCUUCUCAGCCAGCUGAUUUAAAACUGUCUUUUGAGACCAGCUGGGGAUGUGGACAGAGACAUCUUCUGCAAACACUGGAGCAGGGUCACAAAGAAUCAGAGCUGGCUGGUGUGUGUCCUUCUGGUCCAGCAUGCUGUGUUGGGAGGUGCAGAAAUGCCAGUUGA